RNAcentral lists this ribosomal RNA (253 nucleotides) under uncultured bacterium. Its description in RNAcentral is "partial 16S ribosomal RNA". It matches the Rfam family "Bacterial small subunit ribosomal RNA", at positions 524 to 776 of the family's 1533-position model. The record is from RNAcentral.
UACGUAGGGGGCAAGCGUUGUCCGGAAUCAUUGGGCGUAAAGCGCGCGUAGGCGGCUUCGUAAGUCUGCUGUGAAAGUCGGAGGCUCAACCUUCGAAAGCCGGUGGAUACUGUGAGACUUGAGUACGGAAGAGGAGAGUGGAAUUCCUGGUGUAGCGGUGAAAUGCGCAGAUAUCAGGAGGAACACCAACGGCGAAGGCAGCUCUCUGGGACGUUACUGACGCUGAGACGCGAAAGCGUGGGGAGCAAACAGG